RNAcentral lists this non-coding RNA (155 nucleotides) under Roseomonas nitratireducens. RNAcentral describes it as "6S RNA". It matches the Rfam family "6S / SsrS RNA". From Rfam's summary of the family: E. coli 6S RNA was the first non coding RNA to be sequenced, but its function was unknown until recently. It consists of 184 nucleotides that fold into an extended hairpin structure with a large single-stranded internal bulge. The 6S RNA specifically associates with RNA polymerase holoenzyme containing the sigma70 specificity factor. Lineage: Bacteria; Pseudomonadati; Pseudomonadota; Alphaproteobacteria; Acetobacterales; Roseomonadaceae. The record is from RNAcentral.
GCGGGGCUGCCCGGUGCGCCAGGCACUUCAUCCCCGGGGCCAAUGCACAUCCUCCGGGAGCUGGCUCUGUCCGGGCCGUGGUUCGGAUACCUGGUGCCCACCUGCGAAAGCAGGCCUUGGGAGGAUGAGACGCCAGCGGCCAGGGUGGCUCCGCA